RNA transcript from Gossypium arboreum, 1178 nucleotides. RefSeq lists it as uncharacterized. The record is from RefSeq and is a predicted model, not a curated record. The transcript has 7 exons. Lineage: Eukaryota; Viridiplantae; Streptophyta; Magnoliopsida; Malvales; Malvaceae.
GCAAAGGGCCAUUAUUUUUAAAAAAAAAAAAAGGAAAUCAAAAUCCCACUGACUCGUAAAAAUUAACUUUUGCUUACCCGCUCAUUACUCCCUCUUCUUUUCAUCUAUGUCGCUCGCCCUAAAUUUUUCUCUCUUUCGUUUCUUUUCACUGUCUAGAUAUAUCCGCCUCUCUCAUCUUCGUGUAGCGUUGUUUAUACGUUUGGUUGUUGUUGAAGAAGUGCUACUACCAUGGCUACAAAGAAGAGCGUUGGGGACUUGAAGGAAGCUGAUUUGAAGGGAAAGAAAGUGUUUGUUAGAGUCAUUUGCUAGAUCUGUUGAUGAUGGUCGUGAAGCUCAAGCUCUGCGUCUAAAGGAAUUCUUCGCCGAUCCUCGCCGAUCCUUCUCAUUUUCCUGUUGACCAGAUCUCUCGCCACAACUCUCUUGGAGGCACGUGCCGAGUCAACUGAUGGACUGAGGCCAAUUUUCUUUACAAUAAAUGUGGCGGUUUAUUCCAUUCAGAAUCAAGUGUGAGCAAUAACAUAAAUCAUGCUCUGGAAGUCCAUCAGCACAAGAGAGAUGUUCCCUUCUCUACUUUAGGCCCAUUGAAGGCUAAUGAACGUAAAGAUCUGAAUUGUGCGGUAAAGGAAUAUUUGCUGAUAGGUGGAUAUCGAUUAACUGCAAUGACAUUUUGUGAAGAGGUUACAGAUCAGGGAAUCUUAUGCAUUGGCUUUCUCAAACGUUCUCGCCAGCAAAAGGAAAUUACAAGGGAUCAAGCAGUUCAAGAUCUGGAGGAAUUGGAGAGAAGAGGAGAAGAAUUUGAACAAUUGCUGUUGGCAGAAAGGGUAUGAGAGAAUGUGGGUGAUUAAGUCAAAUGGAGAAAGGGACAUCAUAUCCUUGUUGUGUGCAAGUGUUUUCUCCCUGAGACAGGCAAGGAACCUGACAUCAAGAAUGGUUCAACUUAAAGAUGCUUCCUUGUACUCAUUCUCAUCCUCUUUAUAUUUUUCGAUGCUUUCUUCAAGCAGGAUACUAAGAAUUUCCUGUACUAUUCUUUUUGAUUGCUUAUAAAAUAGUUUGCUCAUUAGAACCUUCAUUUUCUCGUCUUUUUUUUUAUUUGUGUAAAUCAUUUUUCUUUGUUUAGUGACACAACGAAUCUUUGAACAUAAUUUCUGUUGAGUUACAUAUAAAUGAUUUUUUAAAAA